GAUCAUGGCUCAGAUUGAACGCUGGCGGCAGGCUUAACACAUGCAAGUCGAACGGUAACAUAAAGAAGCUUGCUUCUUUGAUGACGAGUGGCGGACGGGUGAGUAAUGCUUGGGAAUCUAGCUUAUGGAGGGGGAUAACGUACGGGAAACUGUAGCUAAUACCGCGUAAUAUCGAAAGAUUAAAGUGUGGGACCUUCGGGCCACAUGCCAUAGGAAUGAGCCCAAGUGGGAUUAGGUAGUUGGUGAGG
This 248-nucleotide ribosomal RNA is filed under the name uncultured bacterium. RNAcentral's name for it is "partial 16S ribosomal RNA". It matches the Rfam family "Bacterial small subunit ribosomal RNA", at positions 15 to 257 of the family's 1533-position model. The record is from RNAcentral.